Molecule: small nuclear RNA, 141 nt
Filed under: Gopherus agassizii (Agassiz's desert tortoise)
Lineage: Eukaryota; Metazoa; Chordata; Testudines; Testudinidae
Description: U4 spliceosomal RNA (ENSGAGG00000016199.1)
Rfam family: U4 spliceosomal RNA
About the family: U4 small nuclear RNA (U4 snRNA) is a component of the major U2-dependent spliceosome. The structure of U4 snRNA from yeast and human has been reported.
Source: Rfam by way of RNAcentral
AGCUUUGUGCAGUGGCAGUAUUGUAGCUAAUGAGGUUAAUCCGAGGCGUGAUCAUUGCUAGUUGAAAACUUUUCCCAAUACCCUACCAUGAUGACUUGAAAUAUAGUUGCCAUUGGCAAUUUUUGACAGUCUCCUGUGAGA